AGAGUUUGAUCCUGGCUCAGAUUGAACGCUGGCGGCAUGCCUUACACAUGCAAGUCGAACGGCAGCGGACCUUCGGGUGCCGGCGAGUGGCGAACGGGUGAGUAAUAUAUCGGAACGUGCCUUUCAGUGGGGGAUAACGUAGCGAAAGUUACGCUAAUACCGCAUAUUCUCUGAGGAGGAAAGCAGGGGACCUUCGGGCCUUGCGCUGAUAGAGCGGCCGAUAUCAGAUUAGCUAGUUGGUGGGGUAAAGGCCUACCAAGGCGACGAUCAGUAGCGGGUCUGAGAGGAUGAUCCGCCACACUGGGACUGAGACACGGCCCAGACUCCUACGGGAGGCAGCAGUGGGGAAUUUUGGACAAUGGGCGAAAGCCUGAUCCAGCCAUGCCGCGUGAGUGAAGAAGGCCUUCGGGUUGUAAAGCUCUUUCGGCCGGGAAGAAAUCGCACAGGCUAAUACCUUGUGUGGAUGACGGUACCGGAAUAAGAAGCACCGGCUAACUACGUGCCAGCAGCCGCGGUAAUACGUAGGGUGCGAGCGUUAAUCGGAAUUACUGGGCGUAAAGCGUGCGCAGGCGGUUUGGUAAGACAGGCGUGAAAUCCCCGGGCUCAACCUGGGAACUGCGCUUGUGACUGCCUCACUAGAGUACGGCAGAGGGGGGUGGAAUUCCACGUGUAGCAGUGAAAUGCGUAGAGAUGUGGAGGAACACCGAUGGCGAAGGCAGCCCCCUGGGCCGAUACUGACGCUCAUGCACGAAAGCGUGGGUAGCAAACAGGAUUAGAUACCCUGGUAGUCCACGCCCUAAACGAUGUCAACUAGUUGUUGGGGGGGUAAAACCCUUUAGUAACGUAGCUAACGCGUGAAGUUGACCGCCUGGGGAGUACGGCCGCAAGGUUAAAACUCAAAGGAAUUGACGG
Molecule: ribosomal RNA, 912 nt
Filed under: uncultured beta proteobacterium
Lineage: Bacteria; Pseudomonadati; Pseudomonadota; Betaproteobacteria
Description: bacterial SSU rRNA
Rfam family: Bacterial small subunit ribosomal RNA
Source: RNAcentral